GGUUCCUUAGUGUAAUAGUUAACACUCUGAACUUUGAAUCCAGUGUGAUCCGAGCUCAAAUUUCGGAGGAAACU
Molecule: non-coding RNA, 74 nt
Organism: Trichonephila clavata
Lineage: Eukaryota; Metazoa; Arthropoda; Arachnida; Araneae; Nephilidae
Source: the annotation of a GenBank genome assembly